Molecule: unclassified non-coding RNA, 258 nt
Rfam family: Eukaryotic small subunit ribosomal RNA (bases 1-46)
AAGUCGUAACAAGGUUUCCGUAGGUGAACCUGCGGAAGGAUCAUUACCGAGCGCUCGAGCGCGUCCCCUCCCCGGAGGGGUGCGUUCAGCUCCGCCCUCUGUGUACGAGCCUCGUUGCUUCGGCUGCGGUCGUUCGCGUUUGCGGCGGCCUGCCGCCGGAGGAUCAAGACCCUUUUGAACCUGUGGCGUCUGAGCAUGUCGUUCGAUGCGAACGUUUUAAAAAUAUCAAAACUUUCAACAACGGAUCUCUUGGCUCUG